This 434-nucleotide ribosomal RNA is filed under the name uncultured Gammaproteobacteria bacterium. RNAcentral's name for it is "bacterial SSU rRNA". It matches the Rfam family "Bacterial small subunit ribosomal RNA", at positions 1011 to 1445 of the family's 1533-position model. The record is from RNAcentral. Lineage: Bacteria; Pseudomonadati; Pseudomonadota; Gammaproteobacteria.
GGAGUGCCGCAGUGAACCAGAACACAGGUGCUGCAUGGCUGUCGUCAGCUCGUGUCGUGAGAUGUUGGGUUAAGUCCCGCAACGAGCGCAACCCUUGUCCUUAGUUGCCAUCAUUAAGUUGGGAACUCUAAGGAGACCGCCGGUGACAAACCGGAGGAAGGUGGGGAUGACGUCAAGUCAUCAUGGCCUUUAUGGCCAGGGCUACACACGUGCUACAAUGGCAGGUACAGAGGGAAGCCAACUCGCGAGAGGGAGCUAAUCCCAGAAAGCCUGUCUUAGUCCGGAUUGGAGUCUGCAACUCGACUCCAUGAAGUUGGAAUCGCUAGUAAUCGCAGAUCAGCAUUGCUGCGGUGAAUACGUUCCCGGGUCUUGUACACACCGCCCGUCACACCAUGGGAGUUGAUUGCACCAGAAGCAGGUAGCCUGACCGCAAG